GGAUAUCUUGGCUCUUGCAACGAUGAAGAACGCAGCGAAAUGCGAUACCUAGUGUGAAUUGCAGAAUUCCGCGAAUCAUCGAGUUUUUGAACGCAAGUUGCGCCCGAGGCUCGUCCGAGGGCAUGCCUGCCUGAGCGUCCAC
This 142-nucleotide ribosomal RNA is filed under the name Diplasiolejeunea cavifolia. RNAcentral describes it as "partial 5.8S ribosomal RNA". It matches the Rfam family "5.8S ribosomal RNA". From Rfam's summary of the family: 5.8S ribosomal RNA (5.8S rRNA) is a component of the large subunit of the eukaryotic ribosome. It is transcribed by RNA polymerase I as part of the 45S precursor that also contains 18S and 28S rRNA. Functionally, it is thought that 5.8S rRNA may be involved in ribosome translocation. The record is from RNAcentral. Lineage: Eukaryota; Viridiplantae; Streptophyta; Jungermanniopsida; Porellales; Lejeuneaceae.